RNAcentral lists this transfer RNA (67 nucleotides) under Polyrhachis dives. Its description in RNAcentral is "tRNA-Val". The record is from RNAcentral. Lineage: Eukaryota; Metazoa; Arthropoda; Insecta; Hymenoptera; Formicidae.
AAAAUUUUAGUUUAAAAUUAAAAAUAAUUCAUUUACAAGGAAGAGAUUGAUAAAUAUUAAAAUUUUA